AGGCCUUCUUGCGCAGGUGAUUGAUCAGGCAGGGGAUGUCGACGCUUUCUCCUACCACCUCCAGCUGAUCCUUGGCGUCGCCGAUGAUCGCCACCGAGUUCACUCCUGCAUAUAAAAUUAACACGAGCGUGUAUUCAUGGACGAUAUGUGGAAAGAUCCCGGCCCGCAUACGACGUUCAAGAUAAUAGCUAGCUAGUGUGAUGGAUGUGUACCGACAGAUUUGGAUGCCAGCUGCAUGGCUUUAGACCGGUUCUUGGCGUUCGGUUCGCCCAGCCUGAUCACAGUCUUUUGCUGCAACAACGACGACGACGAGCCCAAGUUAGCUAGCAUCAGUGAGAAUUCUAAAAAUUGUCUGACUUAUUCUCAACAAGAGAUGGAGCAUCAGCGAGAAUUCUAAAAUUUGUCUGACUUCUCCACAAGAGAGAACUGUAUUUUUUUUUUUGAACAUAUAUGGGAGCACACAUGCAUGCAUGGCUAAUCAAGAGUUUCUAGAAUUUUUUCAGAUUUCACGUUACAUCGAAUCUAACGGUACAUACAUGUAACAUUAAAUAUGGAUUGAAAAAAUAACUAAUUAUACAGUUUUACUGUAAAUUGCUAGAUGAAUCUUUUGAGCCUAGAUAAUCCAUGAUCGAACAAUAUUUAUCAAAUACAAACGAAAAUAUUACGGUAUUCAUUUUGUAAAAAAUUUUAUAACUAUAAACAAGCUAGGCCUUGGCUACUACCUUGGACAUCGCGUCGCCCGCAGCCGAUCGAUUUACCUGCCGCAAAUGACGAUGAGCAAAGAAGAAACUGUGAUGGUGGCUAUAUACGCAGCUACGCUGAUGGGCUGCGGGUGCUACUACCUACCAAGAGCAGCCUAUAUAGGCCAGUCUCAAUGUAUGUUUUAUGAGAGUAUCAUACACAUUAAAUAGGAUGUCAUAUAAGUAAAAUUGCUGACUUGGCAGGGUCAUUAAAUGAAGGAGUUUCAUCAGAUGAGAGAGGAGUUUCAUCUCUAUGAAACUCAUGUGACUCGCUUACCUAGUUUAUAGUCUAUGUAACUGUGCCAUGAAACUAUGUAUUGAGACUGGCCUUAUACACGCACGCGCGCAAGUGGGCAAAGGCCUUGUUUAGCUCAGCCUAAAAAUCAAAAAGUUUUCAAGAUUACAUGUCACAUCGAAUCUUGUGCUACAUGCAUGAAGCACUAGAUAUAGAUGAAAAUAAAAACUAAUUACACAGUUUGUCUGUAAAUCGUAAGACGAAUCUUUUGAUCCUAGUUAAUCUAUGAUUGGACAAUAUUUGCCACAAAUAAAUAAAAAUACUACAGUAGCGAAAUCUAAAAAAGAUUUCGCAUCUAAACAAAGCAAAAAUGUGGUGCCGAAGCCAGGAGCCAGGAAGAGACGCCGCCGCCUGCCGAACUGCAAAUAAAUUAAAAAGGCGGCUAAAUUAAAAAGUGAACCGUAGUAGAAAAGGGACCAUUUGUAACUUGUAAGUACGUGUUUGGGGUACCGAACUCUUUCGGUCAGAACGGCCGGACGGAAGCUUGUAGGACCUGCACCGGGGCCAGCCCACCACGUGAACGAGCGAGUGGCGGGAUUUAUGAUUAUGACUACAAGAACAGCGUCCAGGUAGGUAUGUACGUGUAUUUUCGUAUAUUGUAGUACGUAUGUUUUCUUUUCUUCUUUUUCUCUUGUUCUUUUUUCUUUGUAUGCUUCACUUUUUCUUUUCUUUUCUUUUUUUGUACUUCAUUUUUUAUUUUAUUUUAUGUUUUAUAUAUUUAUUAUUAUUUUUUUCUUUUCUUUAUAUAUUUUGUAUGUUUGUUUUAUUUUGUUUCAUUUCCUUUUUCAUAUUAUUUUUUAUUUCCUUUUUUCAUUUAUCAUUAUUUUCAUUUCAUGUUAUUUUUUUUAUUUUGUGUGUUCCUAACACCUAAUUUCUUUUCUUCUCUCGAUGUAGAUGUAGGCUGGUACUUAGCAGCCAUGUUCCCGGAACGUCGGGGACGUGGUACGGGAACGUGGUACGCGGUACGGCGUCUUCAAAACCUAUGGAACGAGGUGGGUAUACAGCUGCUGCUCGUACCAAACCCAAAAGGAACGCGUACCAAAUUGAAAUAAAACGAUGACAUGGAACAUGUUCCUGAAAAUAAGGAACAUGUUCCCGGAACGUCUACCAAAUCAAAAGGGGACGCUACGACAUGAAAUAAUUUUGUCUCUGGUGGUCGUUCCAUGCAGUUUUGCACGUUAUGAAAUGUGCAGAGUUCGAAGUCUUGUUGGGAACCUUUCAUUUUUGUGACUUUUUUUUUAUUGGGCCGUCGGCCGUUUAAAACUUUAACCCUAAAGCCCAUUCCGAUUCGGGGCAGCUGAAGUGCUGAACUUUUGCCGACCGCCGCCGCCACGGCCGCACGGGCACCGCGUGCACGACGCCACGGCCAGUGGCCACAGCACACACUGCCACAGCCGCACGGCGGCACGGGCAAGCAGCAAGCUCUAUGCAUCCGCGCGCACGGCCAGUGCCACUGCCGCGCCGGCGGCCUGCCGGCGGCCACCUACUCGAUGCGGCGGCGUACAAAUGGCGGACUCGGCGUCUCGGCCUCGACGAUUCUUGCGGCGCUGCGGAGCAGGAGCAGCACGUUAGCACUUCGCCGUUCGCCGGCUCCGCGUCCUGGAGCGGGGCUCCGGCACUCCGGCACUCCGGCCUCCGGCGACCGCAAGCGAAGCGAUGCGACCUGAGGUGCGUUUUCUUCACUGCCUAAGCAUCGUUUGUCCCCGAAUCACUAUGGCUGCGAGUCACGUUCCAUAGGCGUUUGAUACUCGACGUUCCUCUUAUUGCUUCUGGAUUCAAUUCGCGUUCCAUCGCGAUUGGGAACGGCGUCCCGCAAUGUCCCCGUCCCGGGUUUCGGGACGAAGUUCCCGGAACAGGAACGUGCCCACGUUCCCGUACCCCGGCUGCUAAGGGCUGGUAGUUAUUUUUUCUGUUUAUUUUCUUCUUAAUUAACUCCUAGUUGGUUGUUAUGUUAGUUUUUUUAUUUCUUAUAUUUUUCCUUUUAUUUUUCAUUACUUAUUUUCUAUUCUAUAUUAUUUUACUCUACUCAAUUAUUUUAUUUUUCAUGUUCAUAUUUAUUUCUUAUUUUUCUAUAUAUUUAUUAUUUGUUAUUCAUGUUUUAUGUGCUUUUUUCUUAGCUAUUCUUCUCAUUUUUAUAUUAUUUUUUUUACUAUAAGUUAUUUUUAGUUUAGUUUUUUUAUUUUCUAUAAUCUAUGAAAUGCUAUGUUCAUAUAAUAUAGAUGUGAUAUUCUAUGAUAUUUUUUAUGAUGUUCACAUGAUAUAUAAUGUCAGGUUCUGUGAUAUUUUUUGUGAUGUUCAUGUAGUAUAUAUAUAUGUAAUAUUCUAUGAUAUUUUUUUGUGAUAUUCACGUGUUAUAAAUGAGAUGUUCUAGGAUAUUUUUAUGUCCACGGAGUAUAGAUGUGAUAUUCUAUAUGUAUUUUGUGAUGUUUGCGUACUAUAUAUGUGAUGUUCACAUAGUAUGUAAUGAUAUUCUAUGAUGUACUCUGUGAUGUUCAUAUAGUAUACAUGUGUUGUUCUAUUAUGUAUUAUGUGAUGUUCUAUUGUCUAUUUAGUGGUAUUUACUUAGUAUACAUGUGAUAUUUUGUAAUAUAUUUUAGGAUGUCUGAAAAGUACCUAUGUGAUAUGCUUUUAAAAUUUUUCUUAUGCUUUGCUCUAGAUUUCAAUAUUUUUUAAUUAUGUUGUGUAUUUGUUUAUUUACUUACUUAUCUUUAUGUAUACUGUAAUAUCAAUUUUAUUAAUCUAAACUUAGAACAUUCUACUUACCAAGAUGGAACAUUGUUUUUUGAAACUAGAACAUCGUCUCUGCUUAAUAAAAUAAAAUGUUCUAUUUUAAUAAGACAAAUAUUCAUUAUAUUUUUUUUAAAUAUAUUUAUGUGAGAUCUUGUUUUAAAGAAUUUAUUGCAAAAAAUUUAAUGGUAUUGUCAGAAUUUAAUUUGGAUAUUUAAUUUUAGAGGUAUGACUUUUUUUUAAGUUGGAUAAAACUUAUGUGUCAACUGUAGACGUGAUGGGGCCCUUAUCUGAGCAAAUUAGUUCUCGGGACCAUAUCGACCCGCACGCGCUGCCUGCUGGGAGGUUGGGAAGGAAAAGAUUCGGCUUUGAUGCGAAAAGAUUUUAGAUUUUGUUACUGUAGCAUUUUUGUUUGUUUGUGGUAAAUAUUGUCCAAUCAUGGUCUAACUAGGGUCAAAAGAUUCGUCUCGCGAUUUACAGUUAAACUGUUCAAUUAAUUUUUAUUUCCGUCUAUAUUUAAUGCUUCAUGCAUAUGCCGAAAUAUUAGAUGUUACAGGGAAUUUUGAAAACUUUUUAGUUUUUAGAGUGAACUAAACAAGGCCGAAAUAUUCUUGAGGUCUUGUUUAGUUCCGAAAAGAUUUUAGAUUUCGGUACUGUAGCAUUUUGUUUGUUUGUGACAAAUAUUAUCCAAUUAUAGACUAACUAGGAUCAAAAGAUUCGUCUCGCGAUUUCCAGCUAAACUGUGUAAUUAGUUUUUGCUUUCGUCUAUAUUUAAUACUUUAUGUAUGUGCCGCAAGAUUCGAUGUGACGGAAAUCUUGAAAACUUUUUGCUUUUUGGGAUGAACUAAACAAGGCCUGAGUCUGGGCGGGAUCUGGUUUGGUCUGGCCGCCCGGACCGUAAGAGGUCACUUCGAGGUAGCUGGUACCUUCAGUUUCCUAUGUAGAAAAUGGAUAUCUCGUUUCUUGGAAAAUCAAAUCUUUUCAAAUUUAACUACAUUUAUAAGAAAUAAUAUUAAUAUUUGUGUAUCUAAAUAAGUUAAUUAUGAAAAUAUAUUUAUAUAUAUCAUGGUUAUUCCAAUAAUACUUACCCUAUUAUAAUAUAUUUGGUCAAACUUAUAAUUAGAAGCGAGGGUUUCAUUCUUUUUUAGCAUCAAGAUCAGGAAAAAGCUUCUAGUAAUUAUAAAUCCAAAAACACUUUUUUCAUAUAACAAAACUUAGAGAAAUUUUACUAUACAUGGAAAUAAUGAGAACCCUCCAUUAGACUAGAUCGGAUGGUUAAAAAAUAAGAACCAUUUAAAAGAAACUGCGUUGAGUUAAUCCUCCAAUAUAGUAUGGAUCCCUUCCCUUCCACUCUCUCUAGACUAUCAGACUCCCUCGACGCUCUCCACCUGUACACAAGCUAUUCUCACGUCUCGCUGCAGACACGCUACAGACACGCUGCAUCGUCACAAGCCGUUCCUACAGGCACGCUGCAUCAUUGCCCUGCAUCUCGCUGCAGGCACACUGCAUCACAACUAGGGAUGAAAACGGUAAGGAUAUUUUCCGACUGUAUUCGAGACCGAAUUCAUUUAGAGGGGUUUAAAUCUGUCCGUAUUCGAAUCCGAAUAUUCAACAUCUGAUACCGUAUCCGUAUCCGAAUAUUUAAAUCGUAUAUUUAUAAUGUCGACAUCCAAUCAUAUCUUAUCCUGGUUGAUAUUAUCCGUAUUCGAAUCCUAAUCCGAUCAGAAAUAUAAAAACAAAUAUGAUAUCAGUGAUAUCCGUCCGUAUCCGAUCCGUUUUCAUCCCUAAUCACAACCCACUCGUCAUGGCGGACGCGCAGCUUUGUGUCACGACCAUCGUCAUCUCCCGAGCGUCAUGGUCAUCGGCGUCACUAUGUCGCCGACCAUCGAGGAGCUCCAGCAAGCGACCGAAGAGGCAAUCGCUGCUGCUGAAGCAGCCACCGCCAGGCCCGGGCGGGCACUGCUCGUGCGGAGCCAGGAAGCCAAUCGCCGGCUCGCUGAGUAUGAGAACACGGAGCAAGCACAGCUCCACGCUUAGGCCGUCACAAUGAACAACAUCAAGCUGAUGACCCCCUCGUCCUCGAGCAGACGUCCACCUUCUACAGUCGUUGGCAUUCGGUCUUCCUUAAUACCUUGUCCAAAUAUGCCCUUGAUUGUCUCAUGCUCACAGAUGAUGAUUUCUCCAUGGAUCCUCACUAGCAUCGCAUGGAUUGUACUGUCAAAUCAUAGCUUUUUUGGCAUAGUGGUGCCCGACCUCAUUGAAGUUGUCUCUACUGCCUCCUUGACGUCGUGCACCAUUUGGCUUGGGCUUGAAGAGCAGUUCAUCGGCAACAAAGAAACUCGUGUCAUCAUUCUUGAUGCCGAAAUUUAGACCCUUGUUCAAGGGGGUCUCUCUGUCACUGACUAUUGCAAUAAGAUGAAGCAUAUGGUAGAUGCUUUGGGGACUUUGGGUGAGCCGGUCUUGGACCGCACCUUGGGCGUCAACAUUCUUCAUGGCCUUAACGAGCAAUACUCUCAUAUGGCAGCCAUGAUCAGCACGUCUGUUUCUCAUAUUCUGAUGUUUGUGCUGCUGAUUUACUCAUCGAAGAAGUGACUCUCGCCAGCAAGACUACCACCUGAUAGCGUUUGUGGCAUCCUCUUCGUCACGCUCUUCUACACCACAUCCUCCCUCCGGCCAUGGCACGGCUGGAUAGGGCGGACAGGGCAGCCCCGCUUAUGGUGGACAUGGAGGCUCCACACCUUGGGGAGGCUCCAACCAGCAGCACCGGCGUUGGCGCUCCAACAGGUUUGGUGGUGGCUGUGGCGGUCAGGCUGGCACGCGCCCAGUCAGUGUCCUUGGCCGGCACACUGGAACCUGCUCACGGGAACUUUUGUUGUCUGGCCUAGCCAACCUAGCGCCCGCCCACAUCCCCCGUUUGCUCCACUGCCGCCACGUCCUCAAUAUUUCAUCGCUAACACCCAGCAGCGGCUGUACAUCGGUACCCCAUACGCUGUAGGCAGGCAGCAGUAGUAUGCCACCGACCUACAGUACGUCGACACCUCCACCCCAAUAGCAGUCCUGGACAUGGGACCCUCAAGUCUUGGCGAACAACUUCAACACCAUGACACUCACUCCUCUGCCGACCGAUAACUGGUGUAUGGACUUAGGCCUUGUUUAGUUCGCAAAAAAUUUCAAGAUUCUCCGUCACAUCGAAUCUUUGGUCGCAUGCAUGGAGCAUUAAAUAAAGAUAAAAAUAAAAACUAAUUACACAGUUUAUCUGAAAUUUAUGAGAUGAAUCUUUUGAGCCUAGUUACUCCGUGAUUAGAUAAUGUUUGUCAAAUAAAAACGAAAGUGCUACAGUAACCAAAAAACUAAAAAUUUGCCAACUAAACAAGGCCUUAGGUGCUUCCUCUCACAUGGUCUCAAACUCUGACUCCCUAUCCCAUACUCAUCCUCCCAGCCUUUUUACACCAUCCAAUAUCAUCGUCGGUAAUGGCUCUUCUCUACCCGUUACUGCGAUUGGCUCCACUUCUUUUCCUAUACCCGGCCGCUCAUUAUAUCUACAUAAUAUUCUUAUUUCUCCACAUAUUAUUAAGAAUCUUAUAUCUAUCCGUCGUUUCACUAUUGAUAAUCAUUGGUCUGUCGAAUUUGAUCUUUUUGGCCUUUCUGUGAUGGAUCUGGCAAUGGGGAACGUGAUUGUUAGGUGGAAUAGUUCUAGGGAGCUAUACUCUUUUUGACCCUCAACCCACCAUCACUCCUUCACUGCUGUCACAUCUACACCUGUUCUUUAGCAUCAUCGGCUUGGUCAUCUUGGACAUGAGUAUUUUUGGGUGUGUCCAAGACUUCACGUGUGGUAUCUUGCUACUAGUUCGUCUCAUAAUUUUUAGGCGAGCUAUGUAAUUUUUUAGUUAGUCUACAUUUAAUACUGUUAAAUAUGUGCCGACAUAUUGAUGUGACACAUAAAAAUUUUCUUUUCGCAAACUAAACAAAACCCAUGAUAAAUUAUUUUGCAUUAACUUCUAGAAGGUUGUUAGGAUCUUGACCCUCAUGUUGUCUUUUCGUGAGGCAGCUCGGGGCAACGCAUCAUAGUGCCUCUCCAUUGGCUAGCCCCUUGGCUGACGCCGCUCUCCGUCGAGUGGCGGCGCCGAACAUGGUGGUCCUCAGAAAAGCAGCCAUCUGAAGCCCCUUUCAUGCCUCCUCUCCCUCUGCAGCCCUUCAACACGUCGCUGCAACCACUCGCUAGAUCUGGGCACCUGCCGCUGUCGCGUCCAACUCGAGGCCCCCGCCACCAGAUCUGGACUUGCGGAGGCCUAUGCGCGCUACUGCUCGGAGGGGCUGUGGCCACCCUGCACACCUUUGGUAGAGCCCCACGCCUUAGUUGCUUGACGCGCCGUCAGGUAGGAGUCAUGUCGUGGCCGCCACCGCACGCUACUGCCUCAUAGAGAGACGGGCGCUAGGGAGGCUGCGCUGCCACCGAAUAACGGAGGCGGUCAACUAGCCCGCCCGUCUCGGAGGCCCAAAGGAAAACACCACCUGAAAGUUUUUGUGUUCUAGUGCAUAGAAGCAAAUAGCUUUAAUCUUUGUAUGGAGAUAACGACAGCUAGUGCAGGAGAUUUAGAACAAUUGCUUUCAUUUACUAACCUGGUCGAAUUUAGAACAUUUUAACUUAACAAAAUAUAUAUAUAUAUAUAUAUAUAUAUAUAUAUAUAUAUAUAUAUAUAUAUAUAUAUAUAGUAGUGAUCUAAAUUUCAUGACCACUCACGAUUGGAAGAAGCCAAAGCAAACCAGAACCACGUUUGUGCACACAUGGACAAGCCGAUUCAUGGAGAGAAGCUGACCGGUCGAUAUGGCAAAAAAGUUCAAAACCAAAAUCACAAGCAUAUUAAUUAAGCAUACAUAUGGAGGGCAAAAUCCAUCUUAGACUUUGUUUGGAUGUAGUCAGAUUCGCAUCAAUCCACAUGUGUUGGGGUGGAUUAGAGUGAAAUUUAAACUAAAUUCCACCACAAUCCACUCCAACAUAUGUGGAUUGAGAUGAAUCCAAGAACAUCCAAACAAAGCCUUAAGCAUCUUCAUAGGAUGUGACAGGCUCCUGGCUGAUCCUCGCAGAAAACCGUCGGCAGCGGGCGGCCGUAAUAACCGGUGCACUGCGGCGGGCAAGUGCAGAGCUGCUUGAGCUGUUCUUCCGCCUUCUUCUUAUCUUCCUCCGCCUUCUUCUUGGCAGCUUCUUCUUCCUUCUUCUUCUUCUUCUCCUCCUCCUCCUCCUUCUUCUUGUCCUUCACUUCCUCCACCACAACGAUGUUGGCGCGGCAGACCUUCUUGCGCAAGCCGUUGAUCAGGCAGGGGAUGUCGACGCUUUCUCCUACCACCUCCAGCCGGUCCUUGGCGUCGCCGGCGAUCGCCACCGAGUUCACACUACAGGAUCCAGGGUCUUGGCCAAGGGCUCAAAAUGCUCGGCAAAGAGGGCAAUACCGUCGGCAAAAACUUUGCCAAACGUAGCCUUUGACAAAUGCAGUUAUCGGCAAAGACGUCUUUGCCGCAACCUUAGCUCUUUGCACAAUUAACUAUUUAAAUUGCAAAAAAAUUUACGAAAAUGUAACAUUGGGUACCACAUGUAGUAUGUAUAUAGAACAAAAAUUUUAGAGAGCAUAGAAUAAAAAAGAAAAUUCUUUGCCAAGAGUCUUGGAAGGGCUCUCAGCAAAGGUGGCUUCACAUCGUGAGCAUAUUUUUCAACGGUGUUGUGGCUUUGUCGAGAGCUCUCCUUCACCGGCCCUCGGUAAAGAUCUUUACGCCGAGAGCUUCGUUUUACCGAGGGUCUCGGUGUUCAACUCUCGGCAAAGGUGAUGUACACCAAGGUUUUUUUCUUUGCCAAGAACUCUGUUCUCAAGCUCUCGGCAAAGACAUCUUUACCGAGAGCCCGUACCUUAGCUCUCGGCAAAGAGCCGAGCCUUCAGCAAAGGUGGCUUCGAGUAGUGUCACUCCUGCAUAUACAACACCAAGCGUGUAUUCAUGGAUAUAUGGAAGUAUCCCGCAUACGACGUUCAAGAUAAUAGCUAGCUAGUGUGAUGGAUGUGUACCGACAGAUUUGGAUGCCAGCUGCAUGGCUUUAGACCGGUUCUUGGCGUUCGGUUCGCCCAGCCUGAUCACAGUCUUUUGCUGCAACAACGAGCCCAAGCUAGCAUCAGUGAGAAUUCUAAAAGUUGCCAGACUUCGACCUCAACAAGAGAGCAUCAGUGAGAGUUCUAAAAAUUGUCUGACUUCUCAAAAAGAAAGCAUCGACCUCAACAAGAGAGCAUCAGUGAGAGUUGUAAAUAUUGUCUGACUUCUAAAAAAGAGAGCAUCAGUGAGAAUAGUUCUAAAAAUUGUCUGACUUCUCGACAAAGAGAGAACGACUGUAUCUUUUGUUGAACAUAUAUGGGAGCACAUGCACGCAUGGCGAAUCAAAGUAAGAGCUAGCAAAACUGAAGGCCGGGCUAACCUUGGACAUCGACGCAGCCGAUCGAUUUACCUACCGCAAAUGACGAUGAACAAAGAGGAAACCGUGACGGUGGCUACGCAGCUACGGUGAUCGGCUAUACUAUGUUUUGCGCUGCCGGUGGAGUACCAAGAGCAGCCUAUUUAUUACACACGCGCGCGAGCGGGCAAAAUGAUGUGGUGCCGGAGCCAGGACCCACGAAGACGCCGCCGCCUGCCGAAUGGAAACUAAAAGGCGGCUAAAUUAAGGUCAUGUUUAGUCCGCGAGAAGAAAAGUUGUUAGGUAACACAUUUGUAACUAUAGUAAUUAGUGCUUAAUUAUAGACUAAUAAGGUUUAAAAAAUUCAUCUCGCAUAAUACAUACAAACUGUGUAAUUAGUUAUUUUUAGUCUAUAUUUAGGGGGUGUUUGGGAUUGCUCUCCUCCUUCGUUUUAGGUUUUUUAGCCAAACGGUUUCAGCUUCACGCACUCAGUUCAAGGAAAAAAGUAGAGUUGUGAGAGCACGCCUAAAGAGGUACUUCAUAAACUUCAGUUUUUUUAAAGCUACUUCAGGGCACUCACAAUGCAAGACUCUGUUACAGAGUCCAAGACAAUUAAUUACAUAUUAUUUAUGGUAUUUGCUGAUGUGGCAGCAUAUUUAUUGAAGAAAGAGGUAGAAAAAAUAAGACUCCAAGUCCACAUUGCUCGAGGUAAUAAAUAACUUUAGACUCUAUGAUAGAGUCUGCAUUGUGAGUGCCCUCACGGUAGAGUUUGUGAAACAGUUCCAAACACUUUCUUAUUAUGUCAUACAUGUGUCUACCUUUUCAAUAUGAUGGGACAAAAUUUUUUGAGUGGAAACUGAACCAUAGGAAUCGUUGUAAUAAGAACGUUCGUGGUAGCUGGUAACUUCAGUUUCUUCCUAGGUAGAAAAUGGAUAUAUUUUUCUUAAAAAAUCAGAUAUUUUUAAAUUUAACUAGAUUUAUAAGAAAUAAUAUUAACAUUUUUAUACCUAAAUAAAUUAAUUAUGAAAAUAUAUUUAUAUAUAUCAUGGUUAUUCUAAUAAUACUUACCAUACUAUAAUAUAUUUGGUCAAACUUAUGACUAGAAGUGAGAUUGUUUUUAGGGAAUAGGAGAGGUUUGCGCCCCUACUGAAAUUUAUUGAAAGAAAACGGUUUACAGACAGACAGAGAAACAAACUUUAGGAAACAAAGAAGAUGAAAGCUCCUUUUUAGACCGAAGGAGUAUAUAGCAUUAAGAUCAGAAAAAAGGUUCUAAUAAAUAUAUAUCCAAAAACACUAUUUUCAUACAACAAAACUUAGAGAAAUUUUACUAUGCUUGAAAAUCAUUAGAACCAUCCAUUAGACGUCAGAUGGUUAAAAAAUAAGAACAACCUAUUUAAAAGAAACUUAAGUUAUGGACCCGAAUUAAUAAAAAUUAGUGGGUUAGGAACUAAUUUCAAAUUAAAUUCAAAGGGUAUUUACGGUAAUUUCAUAGGUGAGUUUUUUCUUUGAGACUUUUGUAUAUAUGGCAUUAUAAAGUUGGUAAUUAGCUACAAACCAUUAAAAAGGUUGAGUUCUCACAAGUGCCACUGAUCUGAACUCUUUUGCUCUCUAUGCCACCUCCGUCAGAUGUAGCUCUAAAGGUGUCAAACUGCAAGUUUAAAGAGUCAAAAAUACCCUCAAGCCUGAAUAUGUAAUUAAUUUUUUUGAGCAUCUUAAUGACCUCAAAUGAAAAAACUCAAAACUACAAAGUUAUAGAUCUCGACAAUAUCAGUAAUAUUUGUACAAAAAUUAUAUUCAUUGAAUUCCAUACAAAAAAGAUAUGAUUUGAUAUGAUUAAUAUGUCUUAGAAAAAACAUAUUUUUAUACGAAAUCAAAUAAAAUUAUGUUUUAUAUAAAUAAUGUAGGCCUUGUUUAGUUUACCUCAAAAACCAAAAAGUUUUCAAGAUUCCCCGUCACAUCGAAUCUUUCGACAUAUGCAUGAAGCAUUAAAUAUAGGUGAAAAUAAAAACUAAUUGCACAGUUUAUCUGUAAAUCGCGAGACGAAUCUUUUGAUCCUAGUUAGUCCAUGAUUGGACAAUAUUUGCCACAAACAAACAAAAGUGUUAUAGUAGCGAAAUCCAAAAUCUUUUCCCAUCUAAACAAGGCCUAGAUCUCGAUGAGAUCUACAGCUUUUUAGUUUUGAGUUUUUUCAUUUAAGAUCAUUAAGAUACUCAAAAAAGUUAAUUGGAUAUUCAGAGGGGUAUUUUUGACUUUUCAUACGUGUAGUUUAACACCGUUAGAGUUAAAUCUGACGGAAGUAACGUAGAGAGCAAAAGAAUUUGGAGCAAUGGCAUCUGUGAAAACUCAACUUUUUUAAUGGCUUAUUAUAGAUAAUUACUAACUUUUGUAAUGAUAUAUACAUAUGUAAAAGCCUCUUUUUCUUUUGCUUGGGCAGGACCCGAGCCCGUGAAAUAUUCGGAGGCCGUGGCUGCCGUCUACGGACGAUCGAGGGGACGCGGGCGACGAAUCCAUGCCUAUCUCGAUCAAGCGCAGGCUGCUGCUGCCCCGGCGACCCCUAUGAACGUGUGGGCCUCCUGCGCACGGCUAUGAACCUAUGACAACUAAUGAUGGAGAAUUGGGGUGGGGGUUGUGCUCGGCUCCUGUGACUGUGAGGAUGAGUAGUAGCUGCCUUGCUGCCACUUCGACUGCAGCCCCAACUCUGACCGCUAGACGUUGUUAUGAUCUUUGACGGGAUCGCCAAGAUCGAUGUGGAGCGUGUCUGUAGGAUCAAGAGUCAAGAUGGCAACGGGGAAUUUCCCGUCGGGUAUUAACUUCCUAUCUCCGUCCCUGUGAUCUAAAAAUCUCUCCGUCACCGUCCCCGUCCCCGUGAAGGCUCACUCUGACCGCUAGACGUUGUUAUGAUCUUUAACGGGAUCGCCAAGAUCGAUGUCGAGCGUGUCUGUAGGAUCAAGACUUCAAGAGAAUCGGAAGGAAGGUGAUCCCCACGCAGGUGGUAGCCCAAAGCUCCAAACAGAUGAUGGUUGGUUGCGAUGAUUCUCAGACAAGCGGACGGCACCGUGAGCACCAUCCUGGGUUCCCGCAGAUCCGUGUGGCGUUCAGUUGUGCGCAGACAGAAGAAAGAAGAUAUCGGUCUAAGUGAAUAUCCACUAAAAUAACUAAGAUGCCUCUAAUUACCUUAGACGGUUGAAAAAAAUUCUACGCGGAGAAACCAGUAGGAACUAUAAAACUUUGGGCGCGGCGUUGCCGCGCCAGCUCAAGGUAGCCUUCUGAUUUUUGAACUUGUUGUAAUGCCACUGAGAAUAUACUCCCUCCAUCCCAAAUUAUAGACAUUCCAAGAGUAGAGCCAAAGAAUCUCAAGUUUGACCAAAAUUAUAUUCAUAAGAUAAUAACAUUUAUUAUAUUAACUAAGUAUCAUUAAAUUCUCUAUUAAUUAUAUUUUCAUAGUAUAUCUAUUUGAAGUCAUAAAUUUUUAUAUUUUUUCUAUAAUUUUGAUCAAACUUGAGAUUCUAAGAUUCUUGAAAUAUCUUAUUAUAAUUUGGAAUGGAGGGAGUAUAUUCCAACAAUGUAAAUCGUUAAAUGGCACUUAUCCAAUGGCAACAUGAAGUAGUAGCGUGCCUUCAAUAAUCAAUAAGAUAAGAUAAAUUCUAUGUAAAUCCCUUUGUCAAAAAAAAUCUAUGUAAAUUAGAAUAUAUUCAAACGAACAGAGCAUUCAGGUGUUUCAUUUAUGGCAACUUGGCAAGGAUGCUGAUGACGAUAUGGUUUUGAUAAGUACAUGUAUUUAACUGAACAAAAGAAAAUCGAAUUAUGGAGUCAAAACCACUUCAAAGUUGAGAACAUGAUUUCCUCUGGGUGGAAGUAGUUACAGUGAGAAAAGAAAAAGAGAACGACGGGUAUAUGCAAUUGGCAAGCAUUGGCAUUACAUCGAUGUGUGUUAUAUUUAUCAAUUAGAUAAAGGAACGAAUUUGAUUAUAUAAGCUAUAUCAGGCUGCACAGGAAGCAAAUUAUGUCAUGUUUGUAGUAUCUGAUUAUAUGAUGGGUAUAUAUAUUAUUUUUGUAUUUGUAUAACUAUAUGAACUGGAUUAAACAUAAUUAUGAGUAUUUCUGUUCUUCUCAAGGUCUAAGAAUCAUAUGCGAUGACUGAAUAUUACUUAUCCAGUUUGGUUUGUCGAAUCAUAUGUACAUUCAAGCUUCUUUGUAAGUGGUAUGGAGAUAUAAGGUCAAAGAAAACAAUAGUAAUAGUACUAGGAGCAAAAGCAAAAUCAUAAUAUCAAGCAGAGGAGAAUGUUAUACAAAGGUACAAUCCGAGCUAGUUCUUGUUGGGCAAUUAUCAUACUUCGUGAGAUUAUGUAGAAAAACAUAUGUAAUACUGAUGCAUAAUUAUCAUACUCCCUCUAUCCUAAAUUGUAAGUCAUUCUAAGAAUCUUGAGGGUCAAAGCAUCUCAAAUUUGACCAAAAUUAUAAAAAAAAUCAUAAAGUUUUAUGGCAUCAAAUAGAUAUACUAUAAAAAUAUAAUUAAUGAGAACUUGAUAAUACUUAAUUGAUAUCAUAAAUGUUAUUAUCCUAUCAUAUAAAUUUAGUCAAACUUAAGAUGUUUUGAUUCUCCAAAAUUUUUGGAAUGACUUAUAAUUUAGGAUGGAGGGAGUACAUUCUAAGAUUUACAUGUUUUGUGAGCUUGCAAGUUAUGUGUGAGUGAUGAGUUUGCUGAAAUUUUUCGAUAUUCGGUCAUGCAGAUUGAAAAAUGAUUUUAGUAUCACUGAGCACGUCUUUUUGCAAUCCCUGCGGGAGUUGGGGACAGGAAACAGACCUGGGCCUUGGUCUAAGGGGGCGUCGCUGCUGCUCGUGGCUCAGGGCUGGCCUAAUGCGGUAGACAUCAGCAGCAACUGGCAGCUAUGGAGGUUGGCGUCGGGUUGGAACGUGAGGAAAUAGCAAGGGCGGCCUUGUUGGCCAGGCGGCGCCAGAGAGAUGUCGCCGGUGAGCUCGCCCUGCCUCGGUGACGGACCAUGCGCGCCUUGCCGGUCACCUGCGAUCCCGCCCUAUCCAUCGACGCCGAGCGAGCAGGCAGGCGUCGCGUAAGACGCCGAGCGAGCGGAUGGGCCAAGGCGCCGAGAAGAUUCGUGAGGUUAUGAGAGCGUGAUGAAACGGGUGAAGACCCAACCCGAUCCAGCAUCCAACGGAUGCUGUCGCAAGUUCAUUGGAUCGAACGGCCACAAGAUUAACGGGCGACGUGGCACGAUCUGGUAGCUGGGUUUUUGGGGCAGAUUUCGUAUAGUAAGAGAUUCCUUCAUUCCGAGCACAAUAACAAACCUCCAGUUAUAUCAUGUGAGGAUGUCUGUUCACUGAAAUUACAAUGUUUGGCUUUUAAAUCCAUGCAUGCCCUCUCUCUACUCAACAUGUGCGCACAUACAAGCACACCACGUUCAGCCUGCCACGGAUUCAUGAUAAGUUGAACACCUUUGGUUUCCUUAUUCAUGUUGGCCUCGCCUAGAAAUAGCCUGCUAUAGCUGCCGCUAUGGUUGUUUUGUACAAUGUAUCGCUAUUUAUACUCAUUUUGAAUUUAGCUCUUUUAGCCUCGCUAUAUAACCAGGUUUUAGCCAUAGAGAACACCGCUGCUAUAAAUGCCUAUAGAAAGAGAGUCAAAUUGGCUUAUCGAAGCAAAUGAGAAUUAGUUUCACUCGUCGUCAGGUAGCAAAACAUCAAACACCUUAUAUUGUUCCAAUUUUUUGUCUGUCUAAUAAGGCUAGGCAAGAUCCAGAAGGUCACCUUGGUAUUUCCGCGGAGCUUCACAGGAAACAAAUCUCCAGGUGUAAUCUGCUUUCUGCAGGCAGUUGGCUCAUGGGUCAUGACGAGUGUCUCUUUGUUGGCGUGGAUCGGUUUUAAAAGCAUGAUAAACAUAAUCUUGUUUGGAUAACACCGGUGUCAAGUAUGUACAGAGUCUGAACGAGCAUAAAGAUGCGUAAUUUUAAUACCACGAUCGAUGUAAACGCACGAGUCAACGAUCGGUCUCACUCCGAUAAAGUUUGUUUAGAAGUAAUCCAUUCUAAAUGCAUCUAGUGGUACAUGUGUACUUGCACAUGAUAAAACAUAUAGAAAGAUGCUGGUGCGUGCGUCGUCUUCAGAGGUGGUCUCAGACGUUUCGUUUAGGCCAUGUAUACUUAUAGCGAAAUUUUUUAAGUUCGACUACUUUUUUGUUUGUGGUAUUUGGCAAUUAUUAUUCAACUAUAAAUUAACUAAGCUUAAAAGAUUCGUCUCGCAAAUUAUAGAUAAAAUAUAUAAUUAGUUAUUUUAUUUAUAUAUAAUUAAUACUUUAUUUAUACAUUUAAAAUUUUAAUAUGACGAAAAAUCUUAAAAAAUUUUAGAAACUAAAUAAGGCGUUACUUGUCAAGCCAUUCUUUUGUGACGAAAGACCUGCCACUUGCUAUAGUCUUUGUCCACCGUGGACCUUUUUCUGAGCCUCCUUGCCGUCACCAACCCUGACGUCAGCACCUUCAGCAAAUACUGACUGGUUCUCUGAAAGUCUGAAGAGGGUGACAAAGGAAAACAACUCCUAGACGGCUUCAGUUUGUGCAGACUGACGAUUAUAUGUUGAACUGCUGUACAUUUUAGCUUGGGCCUUGUUUAGUUCCCAAAAUAUUUUAUAAAAUUUUUUAUAUUCUUCGUCACAUCAAAUCUUGCAACACAUACAUAAAGUACUAAAUAUAUAUAAAAAAUAACUAAUUAAAUAGUUUACUUAUAAUUUUCGAGAUGAAUUUUUUAAGCCUAGUUAGUCUAUGAUUGAACAAUAUUUGUUAAAUACAAACGAAAGUGCUACAGUUUCUAUUUUACAAAAAUUUUUGGAAGUAAACAAAGCCUUGGUCAUAUGUUGCCUGGUGGAGUAUACAUUGAUGCAAAAGGCUAGAACACUACCUAAAAAGAGUAGUUUAUAUAUUGCCUAAUGACAUAUGCUCUGUGCAAGGAUAGAAAUGGUUUGCGCACAGAGUGAGAAAGGGGGGCAAUAAUGGAUCAAUUAUGUUUCUUUAGCAAACCGGUCCAGUCAUCAAAUCUUCAGGAUUUACCUCCAGUCAAGAUUCAUCCCAUCAUAGUCUAACUAGACUAAAAAGAUUCAUUUAGCAGAUUACAGGUAAUCUGUGUAAUUAGUUAUUUUUUAAUCUAUAUUUAAUAUUCUAUGUAUGUGCCGUAAAAUUCGAUAUGACGGAGUAUCUAAAAAAUUUGUAAAAUUUUUUGUAACUAAACAAGGCCCAAGUUCCUUUAGCUAACGUGCCAGAAUAUCGUUGAAAAUCCGGGGUACAGAUGGUGACUGUCUGCGAAUACAAUUAGUGGCCGAUUGUCUGGUUCUGAAAACCGAUACUGAUCAAGCCAAAAUAGAACAAUUUGAAUUUGCGAAGGCUGGUAUAAUAGAUGGGCAUAUUUGGCUGUUUCUAGUAAUAACAUUUUGUUGCUGAAAAGUUGAAGCUUUUCCUUUCACACAUGAGUACUGCGCUUGUCCAAAUCCUCAACCAUUAAGCCCGAAGGGACCCAUAUCAAAAACGCAGAAAAUGUUCCAUUUCCUGAAGAAUUUGAACUGCGGUAUUAUGCAUUUGACGGAAAUUGAAAGAAUGGAAUACUCAAUAUAUUUCUCAGAGAUGCACAGUGCUUACAUAUACGCUAGGUGGGGAGCCAAGAUAGGUAGGCUCACUAACCAAAUUACAUCCAACACUCCUCCGCAGUUGGAACUAGGAGCAAAGCGAACAUUAAGACUUAGACAAGUAAGCUUUGCCAAUUUCCUUUUUUUUUCCUCCUUUUGUUGCUUUUUCAUAUAUAUAUUUCAUUCAUUCGCACACCGGUACAAGUACAAUCAUAGAGCUGAAUGGCAACUGUAUACCAAUCCGUCAAAACGGCUUGUAUGCUAUCACGAACAGCUUCGCUGGUGACCAGUCACCACCACUACCAGUGCGGGUGGUACUGGUAGUAAUUGGGGUAGCACCAGCCGUACGGCAGCGGCACGACCUCGGGCUUCUUCUCCUCCGGUUUCUUCUCCUCGGGCUUCACCACCUCCACCUUGACGAUGUCGGCGCGGCCGAUCUUCUUGCGCAGGCAGUUGACGAGGCAGACGGUGUCGAUGCCGUCGCCCUCCACCUCCAGCUGGUCCUUUCCGUCGCCGGUGAUCCCCAUCUUGCUCACCCCGUCUGCUUUGGCCGCCAGCACCAUGGCCUUGGACCGGCACUUGUCGCUCGCCACGCUCAGCCUGAUCACGAUCUUUUGCUGCAUGCAGCAACGAGAGCACGAGAUUGAUGAGUCGGGUGCAUACAUGAUGGGGGGCACGAACAGCGAAUUCGAGGAGCUGAAAGAUUGUUCAGACGGCUAGUAGCUAGCUGUUCUUUCAGACAGUUAAUUACCUUCAUCGCGGCUGCUGCUGAUCUACGCGCCGCCGCUGAGGAUUACGAUCAGAUGUAGGGAACGACGACAAGUCGUCUGAGCAGGAAAGGCUGAACGGACGGGAUGGCCGCCGCGACGAAUGGCGAUGGACCGAUGCUCUGCAGUGUGCACUCUGCAGGAGCAAUUCGGCAGCUGCCUUGUGAAUUUGUGAUGGAGCAACUGGCUGCAACAGGUGCGCGCGCGGCAUUUUUAUAGACGAGGCGGGCGGGUGGCAAUCCGGGAACAGGUGAAGGCGGACGAUCCUUCGUCGGAACGAUGAUCUUUGACUCCCUCCAAAGUCCCAAAGAAUUGCAAGGACACGUAUACUACACGACGACGACGACGACGACGACUGACUGACUUAGGAGCGUUACUGUACGCGUGCUAUGUUGUAGUCAUCAGUCAUCGCAUCAUCAACUACCGAGCUAGCGAGUCAGAGACGGGUCCGUUCGGUCCUCAUCGAAAGGGACGGCGUGUUCCUGGAGAAAGAAAGAAAAAUAUAUAUAUACUACAGUAGUAUUAGUAUACAAUGACUUGACUUGACGGCAGUUGGUGCUGGGUGACGCGCUCGCAGCUGGCCUCUUCUCUGCCCGGAGCCCUUCCAAAGCCGCGGCAACGCAGAUUUUUCAAAGGAAGUACAGGUAGCGUUUGGUAUCGUUGGCAAUCAGGGUGGUACGGUGCGAAUGUGAACACGCAGAGUCAACGAGCAGUCUUUCCCCGCUCAAAAAAUACACUCAUGAGUACUACUUGAACAAGAUAGUGGGCCGACACACAGUGGGCAAUGAUCUGUUAGGUGGUGUUUGGUUGAGUUGUUAAACUUUAAUAGGUAUUAUAAUAUUUUUGUUUUAUUUGAUAACUAAUGUCCAAUCAUAGACUAGGCUUAAAAGAUUUGUCUCACAAAUUACUCUCUAGUUAUGUUUUUAGUUUUAUAAAUAGUUUAUAUUUAGUCAUGCAUGUGUCUAGACAUUUGAUACGACGGACGGUAAACUUUAUCGCCCAUAACCUCCAUACCUAUAAAAAAGUUCAUUUUGAACAAGAUUUGAGUCAAAUAUUAGAAAUAUAAAUUAUGAAUAACUUUUAAGUUGUUGAUUUUUUUUUUGCGAGCAAGUUGUUGAGUUUGAAAAUGUGAAAAUCAUAUGAAUAGAUUUGUCUUAAAAAAUACUUUCAUAAAAAUAUACAUAUACCAUUUUUUGAUAAAUAUUUUUAUAAAAAUAAGAAGUCAAAGUUAGGUUUUAGAGACCGUGUAGAUAUAAAAGGAGCACGUGCCAAAAUAAGAGAUAUUGGACAGACAUUGUGUCGCUCAAAUGCCUGAAUGAGCUCGUCCAUCACUCCUAGGUGGUCCUCUUCCAUGGUCUCUCAACCCCACCUUUGCUUUCACUCCUAAAUACGUCGAGGGGGCUGCUAGGGUCUACCGGUUCAGACUGAAGCUGUGCGCCGGCACUAGUGCUCUUCUUCUCUCCUACCUUACACGUGCCGUCCCCACCAUCCUUCAUUGUGCCUGUGGUGACCUAGCUCCUUCUUUCUCUCACCGCCCCCACUCCCACCAUCGCUGCCAUGGCCAUGCUCUCCAGUGAGCCACCGGAAGCCUCCUGCCCUGACUUGGCUCGGCCGUCACCGCCGUCGCCAGGCCACAAUCAUUACCACCUGGCUUCCCUGCCUCACUUGAGCCUCUUCCUUCUAAGCCCGCCAUAGAUGGAGACGAGGGAGGGAGAGAGCUGUCGGAGAUGUUGACAAAGGAGGAGCAGUGGUGCAGUGGGCCGCCCGCGUCGGUGCUGCGAGGAAGAAAAAUAGCGCGCCCUCACCUCCAUUCUGACGGAGACUUGACUCUAAAUGUUUGGACAUGAUGAUUUCCGCAUCAAUAUGUAUACGUCCGCACUUCAAUUUCAUAUGUCUGUUGCCUCAUCUUUCUCACUUUCACUCGUGUCGUCUCUCAUCACCUCUUGCACAUGACCAACACCUGAACACCAACACACCUAGCCGCACCAAAUAACAUGUUAUCGUUGCCAAGCAUCGUCGCGCCCAACAAGAAGCAGCGCUGACUUUGCCUCUACAAGCACAAACCAUGAAUGUUGACCAUCCACCAAAAGCAAGAAGUGGCCCAUGGAUGCAAAGGCCUCGUCAUUGGGCACAAACACAAGAGGUGAAGACCCACCAUAGAUCAUCGUCAAAGCUCUUCGCAAGAGCAAAGAGCCGCUCUAACUUCCAACGACACGACCACAACCUCACCAGACCAAGCGCUAGCUCGGCUUGCCCACGUCGUGCAUUAGUUGCACACGACGCGCGCUCGCUAUGCUCACUAGCGCCUCACUUGUCUCCCGCAUAGGGGUUUUUCAGUAGAGGUUGCAGUGUUGUAAUUGAUCCAACUAUGUUUCAGCAAGGACAUAUUUCCAUAGCAAUCACUCAUCAUACAUAAUGACAAGGACACAUCUCAACCUUGCCAUCUCAGAUAUCAUAAAUAUUUUAUUUGAGUGAAUUUCACUAGCAGUCCCCUGUGCAUGUUAGGGAGUGCUCAUAAAUUUUGCUCUUUUUUGUUUUAAAUUUUGUCAAAUUUGGAAUAAUUUGACUUAGGGUAACUCAAAAUUUCUUAUAUUACAGGAUAGAUGGAGUAGAUAGUAGCUUGUAGACAUAUGUGUAAUAAUUUGACUUUUUUUAACUCCAAGUUUGACCACUUCUCUUAUUAAAAAAUUUUUGUGCAAAUAUAGUCAAAUUUAAAUCAUUUUGGAAGAACUUUUACUAAUAAACCAAGCCACGACAAAGAAAAUGGUAUUUUACAUAACUUUUUGAAUAAGACAAGUGGUUAACUUGCACUAGUACAGACGCAUACUGUACAGGCGGCUGAAAACCCAUUUCUACUGGCGUUUUUCAGCACCGCCUGCGCUGGAGGCCAGUAGAAAUGAGACAUUUCUACAGGCGGUAACUAAGAACCGCCUAUGGAAAUGCAUUUCUACAGGCGGUUCAGUUAUGCCAAUCGCCUGUAGAAAUCUUUUUCUAGAAAAUAGGAAAUCGGUUUUUAAAAAUAGGAAAAAAAAAAUUUUAAUACAGGGAAGGCCUAUCGGCUACGCGCAGCUCGUCGUCGAGCACGCCCACGGACCCGAACGACGAGUUGGAGCCCCGCGGGGACGCCACCACGGUGAUCGCGGUCGCGUUGGCGCCCUUGAACGUCUCGUGGAGGUAGAGGUGGAUGUGCGUCACUGCGUCAGGCCGCCGUCGUCUUCGCCGCCGGAUGCAAGAACGGUGGUGGUCACUAGUACAUAGAAGCACUAUACAGGCGGUUUGGAGAACCACCUGCGCUGGGUGCCUGUGGAAAUCAAGAGUUUCCACAGACCGCCUGUGGAAAUGUAUUUCUAAAGGCGGUCGCCUGUAGAAAUAUUUUUCCAUAAAAAUAGGAAAAAAAACAUUUUAUUUCAGGAAAGGCUCACUGGUUAUUCGUGCUUUUUUUCGCGUAAAAUCGCGUGCUUCGUGGCCGGUGGGAUUCGAACCUGAGACCUUGCCCUUAAUCGUAGCCUCCUCUACCACUUCACCUAUCACUCGCUUGUGUCUAUAUUAGAGUUUAGUUCCCUACAUAUUAUCACAAACCGAGCAUAUAUUGAUUAUUUGAGGCCCUAAACGGAUUCCAAUGGAAAAGUUGUCAACUACAAAGUUUCAUAACUUUUUAAGAUCUACAACUUUUAUAUUGGAAGUUUUUCCAUCCGAGGUCAUUUACAAAAUUUGAAUUUCAAAUUUAAGAAAUUCAAACGUAGUUUUCGACGACAAGAUGAUGUCAAAUGAAAAAAUUAUCAACUACAAAGUUUCAUAACUUUUCGAGAUCUACAACUUUUAUUUUGACAGUUUUUUCAAACAAGAUCAUUUGAAAAACUCAAAAAAAUUAAAUUUCAAAUUAUUUCUACAGGCGGCUUUCUUAACAAACCGCCUGUAGAAAUAUGAUUUUUACGGGCGGUUUCUUAGGAGAACCGCCUGUAGAAAUACAUGAUUUCUACAGGCGGUUUUGUUAGGAAAACCGUCUGUGAAAAUGCAUCUUCACAGGCGGUUCGUAAUUCUGACAUCGCUCUUUUUACACUACAGGCGCGUGAUAACUACAACCGCCUGUAGUAUAAAAAAAAGACGUCGGCGUUGUACUCUUUUCUACUAGUGUUGAUAUAAAAAAAGUCAAACGCCUUAUAAUUAAAAAUGAAUUGAGUACUUAAGAAUUCAAAUGAGCAUCAUUAAUAUCUUAUAUGAAAUAUGCUUUCAUAGUUUACAUCUGGAUGUGGUUCUGGUUUGCUUUCAUUUCUGCCAACUGCCAGUGAUGGUUUGUGCACAUGCGCCCAGCACGAUUCACGGAGAGGUCAGAAGUUCAGAACCAAAAUCACAAACAUAUUAAGCAUAUACACGCCGGGCAAAAUCCAUCUUAAGUACGCAGCUCCAGUUCACAUGAUGUGGCAGCCUGCUGCUGGCUGUUCCUCGCAUACAAACGUCGCCGGCGGCCCGGGGUAACUAUAAUAACCACCGUUGUACGGCGGCGGCGGGCACGCCGCCCAGAGCUUCUUGAACUCUUCUUCCGCCUUCUUCCUUGCUUCCUCCGCCUUCUUCUUAUCUUCCUCCGCCUUCUUCUUCUUGGCUUCUUCCUCCUUCUUCUUCUUCUCCUCCUCCUCCUUCUUCUUGUCCUUCACUUCCUCCACCACGACGAUGUCGGCGCGGCAGACCUUCUUGCGCAGGUGAUUGAUCAGACAGGUGAUGUCGACGCUUUCUCCUACCACCUCCAGCUGGUCCUUGGCUUCGCCGGCGAUGGCCACCGAGUUCACUCCUGCAUAUACAUCGAGGCGAGAGGUGGUAAGUACUACUGAUGAACAAGAUGAGUGUAUACUGUUGUUCAUGGAUAUGUGGACAGAUCGAUCCCGCACACCGCAGUGCGCACACGACGAUCACCAAGACAAUAGCAAGCUAGAGUGUGAUGGAUGUGUACCGAC
RNAcentral lists this long non-coding RNA (23529 nucleotides) under Sorghum bicolor (sorghum). RNAcentral describes it as "long non-coding RNA (SBIC_LNC011269)". The stretch from base 8676 to 8784 matches the Rfam family "MIR5565 microRNA precursor family". Lineage: Eukaryota; Viridiplantae; Streptophyta; Magnoliopsida; Poales; Poaceae. The record is from RNAcentral.